UACGUAGGGGGCCAGCGUUGUCCGAAGUUACUGGGCGUAAAGAGCGCGUAGGCGGGCCUUUAAGUGGGGGGUGAAAGGUUGGGGCUCAACCCCAACACUGCCUUUCAUACUGGGGGCCUUGAGUGCGGGAGAGGCGAGUGGAAUGGUCGGUGUAGCGGUGAAAUGCGUAGAUAUCGAUCGGAACACCCAUGGCGAAGGCAGCUCGCUGGCCUGCAACUGACGCUGAGGCGCGAAAGCCGGGGGAGCGAACAGG
RNAcentral lists this ribosomal RNA (253 nucleotides) under uncultured bacterium. RNAcentral describes it as "partial 16S ribosomal RNA". It matches the Rfam family "Bacterial small subunit ribosomal RNA", at positions 524 to 776 of the family's 1533-position model. The record is from RNAcentral.